GUUCUUCCUUUCUUCCGUCAGCUAGUCCAGUUCGUCAGUAUUUGCUGGGCAAUGACCAUGUUCUGCCAUGGUGACAGAGCCUGGAAUUUCCUUGGUGACGCCAUCAAAUUCCUUCCCUGGACUUGUGGGGCUCAGAUGAAUAAAAACAGACAGGACAAACAUUUACACGGCAAACAGUUCAGCUGAGUCUUGUGAGACUGUUAGGAGUUGGAAGAAAACAGGGAACCAUGAGUACCUUUAACAGAUAGACAUCCUGAAGCCUGGGUCCUGGCUGGGAGGUGUGUCUGACGGGCGAACAAGCAGGAGCUACUAGCUCAGGGGCGGUGGUGGCGGCGGCGGCGGCAUCCCAACCAGACAGACCUUGAGCUGCUCUCAGAAUCGAGAGCAGUGACGGGGGAGGCAGGGGCGUCGCCACACUGGGUCUUGAGUGCAUGCAAACGAGAAGAACACAGGCUGGAGGCAAAAAAAACGGUUUUUAAAAAUGAACACAGACCCAGGAUCUCUGAGACAGUCAUUGAUAGCCCAGCAAAAGGGGAAUAUCAAUGAAGAAAAAUAAUUUUGAGGAAGUAAAUAUUGACCAUUUUACAGAUUUGAUGAAAGCCAUAAAUUUACACAUCCAAGAUGCUCAUCAGAUAACCUUCAAAAAUGAUACCCAGACAUCACAAUUAUAUUCAAAUCAGUGGGGAAAAGUUUUUUUAAACCAUGUCCACACACAUCACAGUCAAAAUGGAAUCAGUGGGGAAAAAUUGAAAGCAUCCGGAUAAAAGGACCAGGUUACAUACAGAGGAAAAAUGAUUUGAAUGAUUUCAGAUUUCAUAUCAGAAGCCACUAUGGUCUAAGACUGAUAGUCCUGAGAGAUGAGAAGAGCCAACGUGGAAUUCUUCUGGGUAUAUUCUUCAGGAAUGAAAGCAAAAUAGUCAUUCUGAGAGGAAAGAACACUUGAGAGAAUGUGCUGCCUGUAGACCUUCUUUAAAGGAAUGAUAAGGCUAGUUCUUCAGGCAGAAGGGAAAUAAUUCUCGAGGGAAACUUGGAAAUUCAACGAUAAAGGAAGAAUAAAAGGUGGUAAAUAGGUAAAUGUAAUAGCAUAUUUUUCUCAUUUCCUGUAUAUGUGACUGUUGAAAGCAAAAAUAACAAUGUUUGGUGGGGUUUUUAUAUAUGUAUAAUAGAUGAAUACAUAUAACAUCUAUAGCAUGAUGGAAGGUGAGGGUGAAAGGGCCCGUGUGAUGAGGGUUCCAUGUUUCUCUUGAGGAGAUAAAAUAUUAACUGUGUGGAC
Molecule: long non-coding RNA, 1273 nt
Organism: Bubalus bubalis (water buffalo)
Lineage: Eukaryota; Metazoa; Chordata; Mammalia; Artiodactyla; Bovidae
Exons: 2
Source: RefSeq, a predicted model, not a curated record